This is a long non-coding RNA of Lingula anatina, 170 nucleotides long. RefSeq lists it as uncharacterized. Lineage: Eukaryota; Metazoa; Brachiopoda; Lingulata; Lingulida; Lingulidae. The record is from RefSeq and is a predicted model, not a curated record.
AGUACACCUGUCGAUGUAAAACAGAGAAUACCAUCAUUUUGACACAUAUAACCAUCACUAUGGAGACAUUUGUCUAUGUAGCGGUUUUGCUGGUAUUUCCAGUUGUUUCACAUGCAGCUCAACUUAAGCGUGAUGGCCAAGCUGUAAGUUACAAUUUUUCCAGUAAAAAA